GACGUAGGGCGCGAGCGUUGUCCAGAUUUAUUGGGCGUAAAGAGCUCGUAGGCGGCUUGUCGCGUCGUCCGUGAAAACCUGCGGCUCAACUGCAGGCUGGCGGUCGAUACGGGCAGGCUGGAGUUCGGUAGGGGAGACUGGAAUUCCUGGUGUAGCGGUGAAAUGCGCAGAUAUCAGGAGGAACACCGAUGGCGAAGGCAGGUCUCUGGGCCACUACUGACGCUGAGAAGCGAAAGCAUGGGGAGCGAACAGG
RNAcentral lists this ribosomal RNA (253 nucleotides) under uncultured bacterium. Its description in RNAcentral is "partial 16S ribosomal RNA". It matches the Rfam family "Bacterial small subunit ribosomal RNA", at positions 524 to 776 of the family's 1533-position model. The record is from RNAcentral.